UUGUUAGUUGCGACAUGUCCUUACUUGUAUAUUUUGGUUGAAAGGGUGCGCAGACAAUAAAUGGGAGUUUUUGCCCAUCUUACAUUUAGAAUUACGCGUAAAGUGAUAUUACUCAUUAACCAAACAUAUUAAAGACCUAGGGUCUUUUGAUUUAAGGUCCUUGGUUUGUGACCUUGAAAUUGAAGUCAAGGUCAUAGGUAAAUAUGACGUUCUAGAUUUUGACCUUUGCUUUGAAUUCAUAUAAAUACAUCAUAAAGCCAUAGGAACUAACAUUUUAAACUGAUUUGUCAUAUUUCAAUAUCAAAA
RNAcentral lists this long non-coding RNA (306 nucleotides) under Mytilus galloprovincialis (Mediterranean mussel). The record is from RNAcentral. Lineage: Eukaryota; Metazoa; Mollusca; Bivalvia; Mytilida; Mytilidae.